GAAAAUCGGCCGAAUAGCUCUUUUAAUUGUAGAAAAAAUCGAUUACAAUCAAAAUAGGAUUACAUCUUUAACCUUUUCAAUUUGAAAUGCAUCAAUAAUUUCUUAAUUAUUUCAUUCGUUAGCUGCAUUAGAAUAAACGCUCGAGAUUAAUUAUUCAUCCUCUAUAUCAAAAUCCACGAGAAUUCUACCACUUAACCUUAAUCUCCUAUGACGCUCUCUGAUGUUGGCCUAACAUCCAAGCCACUUCUAUCUAAAGCGAAGGCCCCCACCAAAGCAAGCAAAUGAUCAACCUCUGCCCAGACUACUACUCCACCAUGACCACCACCAUCUCCCAGGAAAAGUGAGUCUGAUAGCAGUUCAGACUCUGAUGUGGAGGAGUUCCAAAAGAGCAAUUAAGAAAUGAAGGAAUUAAAGAAUAAAAUAAAGAGGGAGCUAUGGAAGGAGUGAAGGAUUUUACCGUCUCAAUAACAAAAGAGAAUGGUUUUUAUUUUGGGAUUGAAACUGACGUGAAGAUGUAAAUAAAAAUAUUGGAAUGUUGAGUUGAGGAGUAGGCAGUACGUGGCUUUCUUGUUUACCAACCUAUUGAAUAAAAUAAGAUAUGGAUUUGAUUGGUUUUGAUUGCA
Long non-coding RNA from Salvia miltiorrhiza (redroot sage), 623 nucleotides. RefSeq lists it as uncharacterized. Lineage: Eukaryota; Viridiplantae; Streptophyta; Magnoliopsida; Lamiales; Lamiaceae. The record is from RefSeq and is a predicted model, not a curated record. The transcript has 2 exons.